This is a non-coding RNA of Paramuricea clavata, 555 nucleotides long. Lineage: Eukaryota; Metazoa; Cnidaria; Anthozoa; Malacalcyonacea; Plexauridae. The record is from the annotation of a GenBank genome assembly.
CACAAAAACUACAUCCGAUUUAUUUAACCGAAAAAAUAAUAUUUACAUAUUGCCACAUAACAAUAUUCUUGUAGCUGAACCAGCGCAGUCAGCGCAACAUAUAUUAUGAAAGAGACAACUAUUUUUGGCAACAUAUAUAUAACAGAAAAAUUAGUACUUUCUAUACCACAAACAUUAACAGUAAAUUUACCUGAAAAAGUCAGUUUUAGGACUUUUAGAAAAAGAGGAAAUAUUUAAAUUAAUUUUAGUAAAAUUAAUGUCUUCUUAAAGCUCUUCCUGUGCCUAUAUAUAUACAGUAAUUAUUAUGUACUUGUUGAACUAAAUUGCGGUAACCGUUGCUAUCGCGGCAUCGCUACGACGUUCAAUAUGACGGAUAUUCUGAUGUUAAAACUCGCGAAAAAGACAUCGGCGACGCUCUUGGCUGGAAUGCUUUGUUAUUUUACUUUCUUUAUUAAUUAAAUUAUUAUGACAAUUUUAAAACUGAAGAUUGUGUCGAGCCCAAAAAAAUUUUAUUACGAAUCAGUAAUCACAUUUUACUUAAUUUGGAAAAUUUUG